Molecule: long non-coding RNA, 433 nt
Organism: Bactrocera neohumeralis
Lineage: Eukaryota; Metazoa; Arthropoda; Insecta; Diptera; Tephritidae
Exons: 2
Source: RefSeq, a predicted model, not a curated record
GACGAAGCAACACAGCAAAAGCAAAAGCCUAAACUAACUACCAACCAACUCUCACACCCACCACAACAGCAUGCAUCGAUCGAUGGCCGAUAAAACGCGGCGUUGCAACAACAAUGAAUAAACGAACAACAAACGAAGUCGCAUACGACGACAAAAUAAGUAAAUGAUCACGAGAAGUUCACAAAACAAAACGAUUUGAUUACGCCGGCAACAAGUGUUAUGAGAUCAAUACGCUCUAACUAGUACUCUGUGUUUGCUAAUGCAUAGGUAUGCGUACAAGUACUCGUGAAUAAAAAGUAAUUGACUAUUUCGGAGCAAUGGAUAUUAAGUUCAACGAAGGACCCAAUCGAGCUCUUGACUCUGCUUUGUCAGCUCAAUUGUAAAAAUAUACAUGUCGUCCGAAUGGACGAAAACACUUCAGCUCUAAAAGUAU